CAUUAAAAUGUAAAAUAUUAAACAAUAUGGCUGAACCACCGAAUCUCACAACCCGAGAAGUGCAGCAGGUAUUUGCAGAGAUUCUCAGCCAUGGCGAGGACAUCACCUGGGAUCUAUUGCUGCAGAAUCAACGAGACAUUCUGAAAAGGAAAGUUCGAGAAAUAUUUAAUCAGAGACAUAAAUAAUUCUGGACAACGUUUGGACUCUACGUAAAUACGUCAACGGCCAGUCCCUUUCUGCGUUGUUCUUUGCGGUUAUUGUGAAUGGAGUGACCGACUUGAAGGAGGCAGAGAAUAGCAGAUCCUGGUCGAUCCACCCAGUUUUCCGCUGCCGUCGCUGCGUUGCCGACACGGAUGGAGGGAUGAGCAGCAGCCCAGACUGUUGCGUGAUGUAUGUGGAUCAAAGCGGGCUCUUUGAGGACUGGGAUACAUACUUAAAGCGCACAGCUCUUCCCCCAGGGGUUAUGGUAACCUGGGAUCGAGGAGUCUACAAGCUGAUCGAUGGGCAGGUUGAGCUAAAAACUUAUUUGAUAACGGAGAAAAUGUACACACGCAAUGCGUGCUUCAUAACGUCUGAAGGUCUGAAGGCAGCCUUGGAAUUUCCUGGAGUGCAUCGGCUUUACUCGGAAUCAAGCUCUAGAACAUUUAAGAGCGAGCGACAAAGUGCUAUACCUGCUUUUGGUAGGCAUUGUAUGAUACACUUAAUCUCUGGUAUAUGUAUGAGAAACGUUCUAUUUGUGCUCAAUAACUUGUGUCAAUAACUUUC
Drosophila guanche is the source of this 765-nucleotide long non-coding RNA. RefSeq lists it as uncharacterized. The record is from RefSeq and is a predicted model, not a curated record. The transcript has 4 exons. Lineage: Eukaryota; Metazoa; Arthropoda; Insecta; Diptera; Drosophilidae.